This 327-nucleotide long non-coding RNA is filed under the name Capsella rubella. Its description in RNAcentral is "long non-coding RNA (CRUB_LNC001484)". Lineage: Eukaryota; Viridiplantae; Streptophyta; Magnoliopsida; Brassicales; Brassicaceae. The record is from RNAcentral.
GCCGCAAGUUAAGAUCAUCGCGAAGAAUUUCAUGGACAUGGUGGCGUCUCUUCCAGCCAUCAAGCUUGACAAGCUCUACAACAAUGUCUUCAUCUGCGAGGCUAUUCUCAGGUUAGGUUAUGUGUCUUUGUUUUGAAUCAUAGAUACUGAAAUGUGGGUUUCAGAGGAUUUUUGUUUGCUGUUGUUGAGUUUGGAAACAAAUUUGAGGAUCUUACAUUCUUGAGAUGGUAAUCAGGUCUUUGCCGCCUCUAGCCAAGAAGUAUGUAUUGCAGAUGUUGUACAUUGAUGUUGCUGUACCUGCUACGGUGUUGGAGGAGUGGGUGCUCG